ACAGAGGGUGCGAGCGUUAAUCGGAAUUACUGGGCGUAAAGCGCACGUAGGCGGCUUGGUAUGUCGGGUGUGAAAUCCCCGGGCUCAACCUGGGAACUGCAUCCGAAACUGCCUUGCUCGAGUAUGGGAGAGGGAAGUGGAAUUUCCGGUGUAGCGGUGAAAUGCGUAGAUAUCGGAAGGAACAUCAGUGGCGAAGGCGACUCACUGGACCGGAACUGACGCUGAGGCGCGAAAGCGUGGGGAACAAACAGGA
This 253-nucleotide ribosomal RNA is filed under the name uncultured prokaryote. RNAcentral describes it as "partial 16S ribosomal RNA". It matches the Rfam family "Bacterial small subunit ribosomal RNA", at positions 525 to 777 of the family's 1533-position model. The record is from RNAcentral.